This 1818-nucleotide ribosomal RNA is filed under the name Enterococcus faecalis. Its description in RNAcentral is "partial 23S ribosomal RNA". It matches the Rfam family "Bacterial large subunit ribosomal RNA", at positions 338 to 2167 of the family's 2925-position model. The record is from RNAcentral. Lineage: Bacteria; Bacillati; Bacillota; Bacilli; Lactobacillales; Enterococcaceae.
GGAUUUGGAAAAUUCCGCUAAAGAGGGUGAAAGCCCCGUAGACGAAAUGCUGACAACACCUAGGAGGAUCCUGAGUACGGCGGAACACGAGAAAUUCCGUCGGAAUCCGCGGGGACCAUCCCGCAAGGCUAAAUACUCCCUAGUGACCGAUAGUGAACCAGUACCGUGAGGGAAAGGUGAAAAGCACCCCGGAAGGGGAGUGAAAUAGAUCCUGAAACCGUGUGCCUACAACAAGUCAAAGCUCGUUAAUGAGUGAUGGCGUGCCUUUUGUAGAAUGAACCGGCGAGUUACGAUUGCAUGCGAGGUUAAGUCGAAGAGACGGAGCCGCAGCGAAAGCGAGUCUGAAUAGGGCGAAUGAGUAUGUAGUCGUAGACCCGAAACCAUGUGAUCUACCCAUGUCCAGGUUGAAGGUGCGGUAAAACGCACUGGAGGACCGAACCCACGUACGUUGAAAAGUGCGGGGAUGAGGUGUGGGUAGCGGAGAAAUUCCAAACGAACUUGGAGAUAGCUGGUUCUCUCCGAAAUAGCUUUAGGGCUAGCCUCGGAAUUGAGAAUGAUGGAGGUAGAGCACUGUUUGGACUAGGGGCCCAUCUCGGGUUACCGAAUUCAGAUAAACUCCGAAUGCCAUUCAUUUAUAUCCGGGAGUCAGACUGCGAGUGAUAAGAUCCGUAGUCGAAAGGGAAACAGCCCAGACCACCAGCUAAGGUCCCAAAAUAUAUGUUAAGUGGAAAAGGAUGUGGGGUUGCACAGACAACUAGGAUGUUGGCUUAGAAGCAGCCACCAUUUAAAGAGUGCGUAAUAGCUCACUAGUCGAGUGACCCUGCGCCGAAAAUGUACCGGGGCUAAACAUAUUACCGAAGCUGUGGACUACACCAUUAGGUGUAGUGGUAGGAGAGCGUUCUAAGGGCGUUGAAGGUCGAUCGUGAGGACGGCUGGAGCGCUUAGAAGUGAGAAUGCCGGUAUGAGUAGCGAAAGACAGGUGAGAAUCCUGUCCACCGUAUGACUAAGGUUUCCUGGGGAAGGCUCGUCCGCCCAGGGUUAGUCGGGACCUAAGCCGAGGCCGAUAGGCGUAGGCGAUGGACAACAGGUUGAUAUUCCUGUACCAGUUGUUUUUGUUUGAGCAAUGGAGGGACGCAGUAGGCUAAGGAAUGCAUGCGAUUGGAAGUGCAUGUCCAAGCAAUGAGUCUUGAGUAGAGUUAAAUGCUUUACUCUUUAAGGACAAGUUGUGACGGGGAGCGAAAUAAUAGUAGCGAAGUUCCUGAUGUCACACUGCCAAGAAAAGCUUCUAGUGAGAAAACAACUGCCCGUACCGUAAACCGACACAGGUAGUCGAGGAGAGUAUCCUAAGGUGAGCGAGCGAACUCUCGUUAAGGAACUCGGCAAAAUGACCCCGUAACUUCGGGAGAAGGGGUGCUGACUUCGGUCAGCCGCAGUGAAUAGGCCCAAGCGACUGUUUAUCAAAAACACAGGUCUCUGCAAAAUCGUAAGAUGAAGUAUAGGGGCUGACGCCUGCCCGGUGCUGGAAGGUUAAGAGGAUGGGUUAGCUUCGGCGAAGCUCAGAAUUGAAGCCCCAGUAAACGGCGGCCGUAACUAUAACGGUCCUAAGGUAGCGAAAUUCCUUGUCGGGUAAGUUCCGACCCGCACGAAAGGCGUAACGAUUUGGGCACUGUCUCAACGAGAGACUCGGUGAAAUUUUAGUACCUGUGAAGAUGCAGGUUACCCGCGACAGGACGGAAAGACCCCAUGGAGCUUUACUGUAGUUUGAUAUUGAGUGUUUGUACCACAUGUACAGGAUAGGUAGGAGCCGAUGAGACCGGA